AUGAUAUGUAAAUAGCCAAUGUGUCAAAAGAAUGUUGCAAGCUCAUCAGGUUCCACAGUCGUUAUAUACAUCCGAUGAUAGUGUCAAAGGUGAUAAAAAAGCCUUUGCAGCAGCUAAAAGUCUUCGUAAUUAUUUUUCAGCAGUGGUAAAAUUAGUUUCUCCAUUAAUAAAAUUUAAGUAUUUGAGUUGAAUAAAUUAUUUCAGGAAGCAAAAAGGUAUAGUAAUGGCUAUACUAAUGUUGGGGCAUCUAUACCUAGCAAAGACGGCCAAGACGUGCUUGAUGACUGCAAGUAUCUUCAUAAUUUGAUCGAGUCUAAUGAUGUAGUUUUUUGCUUAAUGAUACGAGAGAAAGUCGUCUGCCAACUCUAUUAUGUGCUGAUGCUAAUAAGCUUUUGUUUUCUUUGUCUAGGGCGUUAAAGUUUUUCAAAUUAAUACAUUAUAAAUGUACCAAUGAGGUGGUGGUCCAUUGUCAAAGGCAAAGCCUUUAAACACCUUGGGAGGUGGAGCUCAUGGGUUCGAGUCCCACAGACGAUAAGGAAUAAACGAAAUUUGUCUUUCAAAAAAAAAAUACAUUAUAAAUGCAUAUAAUUAUGAUAUAUAAUGAUUUUUAAUUCAUUUUCCGUACUCCAGUGUUUAUGAACUAUGUAUGGGACUGGGCACGAAAUGUAAAGCAUCCACGCGAUCAAUCUGUUACCACAGUCCACAUAGAAUUGGUAUAAUCCUAGACAAGGAAUCAUUAUUAACAACCCAGAAGGUGUUGAUGUGUAUCAUGGAGUCCCAAAGUCACUUGAAGAUGAUGACAUUGGGAUGAUGUGAAUGUCGACAACUUUAUUGUUGUUUUGCUCAGAUAAAGGAGAAGUCAAGAGUUUCUUAGAAUUCAUCAGCUACAUAAAGGAAAAAUCAAGAUUUUAUUAGAAUUCAUCAGCUACACCUAUGAUGUAUUUGGUUUCACUGUUGAACUAAAGCUAUCAACAGUGUGUUUUAUUAUUCUAUAUUCACACCUAGCAUUCAACUAAUUCAAUAUUUUGUGGUUUUGGUUUAUCAAAGUUCAUCCUU
RNAcentral lists this long non-coding RNA (1056 nucleotides) under Helianthus annuus (common sunflower). RNAcentral's name for it is "hypothetical non coding rna". Lineage: Eukaryota; Viridiplantae; Streptophyta; Magnoliopsida; Asterales; Asteraceae. The record is from RNAcentral.